This 480-nucleotide ribosomal RNA is filed under the name uncultured bacterium. Its description in RNAcentral is "partial 16S ribosomal RNA". It matches the Rfam family "Bacterial small subunit ribosomal RNA", at positions 28 to 523 of the family's 1533-position model. The record is from RNAcentral.
GACGAACGCUGGCGGCGUGCUUAACACAUGCAAGUCGAGCGGUAAGGCCCUUUCGGGGGUACACGAGCGGCGAACGGGGGAGUAACACGUGGGUGACCUGCCCUCCACUCUGGGAUAAGCCCGGGAAACUGGGUCUAAUACCGGAUAGGACCACUCAACGCAUGUUGGGUGGGGGAAAGUUUUUUCGGUGGGGGCUGGGCCCGCGGCCUAUCAGCUUGUUGGUGGGGUGAUGGCCUACCAAGGCGGUGACGGGUAGCCGGCCUGAGAGGGCGGCCGGCCACACUGGGACUGAGACACGGCCCAGACUCCUACGGGAGGCAGCAGUGGGGAAUAUUGCGCAAUGGGCGGAAGCCUGGCGCAGCGACGCCGCGUGGGGGAUGACGGCCUUCGGGUUGUAAACCUCUUUCGCCAGGGACGAAGCUAACGUGACGGUACCUGGAGAAGAAGCACCGGCCAACUACGUGCCAGCAGCCGCCGUAA